RNAcentral lists this ribosomal RNA (633 nucleotides) under Triticum aestivum (bread wheat). Its description in RNAcentral is "partial small subunit ribosomal RNA". Lineage: Eukaryota; Viridiplantae; Streptophyta; Magnoliopsida; Poales; Poaceae. The record is from RNAcentral.
AUGGGGACGACAACCCAAGAAAUUCUCGCACAAAGAUACAAAGGCAGCAAGAUACACGAUGGAAUUUGGAGUAAAGUGAUGGAGCUGCACUCCGAAAAAGUUCAAGAAACUCCGGAAGAAAGAAUGAGGAGGCAGAGAAAAUCAGCGAUCGAUGUGAGUGGUGAGGAGGACGCACUCACCCUCGCGAGGCUGAGGUUCGAUCUCGUUCCCCGGGACACGCGCAGAUCCAUGGGGAAUGAAUCCCCCAUCGAUCAGAUCAUCGAUGUCAUCUUGCCGAAUCACCGAGGGCAUCCAAUCGCCCUGGAUCCAGUCCUUCGGCAGAGCGGACCUCUAAGAAGAUCCGCCCGAUCGGACUUCCUCGCCUUCGCCUGCGCUGUCGCUUUCUUCGCACGCUCCAGGGCCCCCAUAUUCUCCUUCACCAUCGCCGCAGACGAAGCUCGAACAGACCAGCAGUGCUUAGACGAGAACAGAGAUGGCGGAAGAAUUCGAGAGGGAAGAGGAAAAGUGAAGGCGCACUGUUCAAAAGCCCUGGGCCGGCUGUCGGAUCACGGGUUCCGGCAGACCCUUAAGGUUCGAACUCUGGGGUGCGCGCGGAGAUCAUGCUCUCUACCUCUCCGUCUCGCAAGGAUCUAA